Long non-coding RNA from Callorhinus ursinus (northern fur seal), 373 nucleotides. RefSeq lists it as uncharacterized. Lineage: Eukaryota; Metazoa; Chordata; Mammalia; Carnivora; Otariidae. The record is from RefSeq and is a predicted model, not a curated record.
AGCUUGAGAACCUUCACAGUAGAAGAUACCAGCCCUGUGCCGACUGUGAUGCUUACAAUGAAUCAUUGAAUAAAUUAUUACCAUCCACGGAGGCUGCUCUUUGGAUAAUUAGCAAUUUCAAUCUAAGAAAGAUUCUGUAAAGUACACUUCAGCUUCAGCAUCAAUAGACAAAACGCCAGGCUUUUUAAAAAGACUAGAAGUUUAACGCAAGGCAGAAGACUCUUCUUUGCUGCAUUGUGACCAAGACUUAAGCUUAAACGAAAAGAAUACAAUCAAAUGUUUUACAGCCUUUCACAAAACACUCAAGACGGUUUACCAACUCCAGUAACAAGAGACCAGGAAUCAUUCAAAAAUCAUUUAAGCAGAUCAUUAC